UCCCCAUGAAGAAAUAUUCACACGUCCUACUUCCUGUCCUAGCCCCAGAGCCUGAAAAGGUGAACCCACUGGGGCUGGCUGGGGGAAAAGAGGAAAUUUUGUUCCAGAAGGAACUGUCUGAGGGAU
Molecule: small nucleolar RNA, 126 nt
Organism: Apodemus sylvaticus (European woodmouse)
Lineage: Eukaryota; Metazoa; Chordata; Mammalia; Rodentia; Muridae
Product: small nucleolar RNA SNORD22
Exons: 1
Source: RefSeq, a predicted model, not a curated record